GACUGUGGAAACAAGUUCUGUCAACGAGAGGAAAAGCCUUGAGACUUCACCCACACAGUGUUGAGGUUACUGGAUUGCUACCCGUCUCAAAUGUCCACAAUUAAAGGUAAUGAAGUUGAGAGAAAAUACAGAACACCACCAGAGUACUCUCAGGGUCAAGCUGCUUCAGAACCGUUCGUGUAGCGCUGCCAACCCGUCGAGCCCAGCUGGGACCAUGAUUGCUUCAGGACUGGCUGAAGAACAGAUGUUGGUUGUGACAAGAAAAACUGAAGUCCACGAAAGCAUGGCAUCCCGAGCUCUCCUGAGCGAAAAGUAAGUGCAUGAAAAAGUACAAAUAACAUCUGUACACAGCUGUUAGUGGCAGAUUACAGACACGGGUAACAGGGCUCAUUAUGGUGAGGAUGAGACAGUGUUUGGAGUCAUCUUUGUGCUUCCAUGUCCUUAAUGUGCUCCCCAGCCUUUUUCAGAUGCAGCAUAGCAGAAAAGAAAGCAAUUUUAGUUGUCGUGAA
Molecule: long non-coding RNA, 509 nt
Filed under: Calidris pugnax (ruff)
Lineage: Eukaryota; Metazoa; Chordata; Aves; Charadriiformes; Scolopacidae
Description: lncRNA (ENSCPUG00000002729.1)
Source: RNAcentral